This 1005-nucleotide ribosomal RNA is filed under the name Triticum aestivum (bread wheat). RNAcentral describes it as "partial small subunit ribosomal RNA". Lineage: Eukaryota; Viridiplantae; Streptophyta; Magnoliopsida; Poales; Poaceae. The record is from RNAcentral.
AUGCAUAGGAAGGAACAGGAGAAACUAUCACAAGUAAAGGCUGUGGUAAAGGUGAGACCCAAGCAGGACAAACUUUUUUCGAAAAAGGGCGCCAAGCUGGACAAACUACUGCUAGUAAAGGGGAAAUCGAUCCCGAGUCGGCUUAAGAGCAAGAUUUUUCGUGGAAAAGGAAGGGGAAUAUGUCCAGAACAUGUGAAGCACCAGACACUUCGCAUAUCUGAAGUCAGAAGGCACUAUAAGCUUACUUAUGACGAGGCAAACCAUCUUCAUGCUUAUUCAGAAUGUAGACCGGUGAUUGGAGAUGGGGAGUGUUUCUACAGGAGCUUCAUAUUUUCAUACCUUGAGCAAGUUAUUGAUAGGCAGGACACACAUGAGGAACACCGUCUCCUUAGAAGAGUGUCUACACAACGUGCAAAUCUUCAAUGGGACUCUGAGUUUUCCCGGAGCAGAAGAGCAUUUAAGGAGCUGAUUGAGAACGUAAUGAAAUGGAAGAGCAGGGAAUCAACUAGCAGUCGCCGUAAAGAGAAACUUCUCAAGUUCUUCAGCACGUAUGAUACGACGCAAGACAUUUUUGUUUUCCUCAGAUUACUAGUAGCUAUCCAGAUAUGCUCGCACAGGGAGGUGUAUGAACCGAUUAUACAAGGGCCCGGAGGAAAUUACAGUCUGGAAGUUUGGUGCUUGCAGCACGUCAUUCCAGCUCGUGUGUACGCGGACCAUGUUAUGAUGGUGGCUUUGGCCAGAGCGCUUGAGGUCCCCCUCAGAGUGGAAUCACUCCAACGAGGAUAUGCUCCAGAUAUCUACACUGGUCCUGGAGUUCCCCGUCCAAGCGUGACCCUGCUGUACACGGGUGAUCACUACGACAUCAUCUACCCACGUGCUCCUUCUGCUGAGAGUUCAAGUCAUCGGGCUUCCCAGGGAGAACAUCCUGGUGAUCAGAGUUCAAGUCAUCAGGCUUCCCAGAGAAAACAUCCUGGUGAUCAGAGUUCAAGUCAACGGACUUUCUAG